This 944-nucleotide long non-coding RNA is filed under the name Salvator merianae (Argentine black and white tegu). RNAcentral describes it as "lncRNA (ENSSMRG00000019943.1)". Lineage: Eukaryota; Metazoa; Chordata; Lepidosauria; Squamata; Teiidae. The record is from RNAcentral.
AUGAUGGCUCCCGAGAGGAACGGGGCUGCUCGGCUGCUCAGAGGAGAGCCCCGUUCUCCUUCCGCAGGGCGCAGAGGAGGCAGCUGGGUAAGGCAGCAAAGAGGUUGCUCAAGCCCAGCUGUUGCUCAACGCUCGCUGCCAACGGCCCACGGCCAGAGCGAUGGAGACGGGAAUUCUGCAACACCUGGGGGGCCACAGGGCCGAACCCAAAGAAGUGCUACCCUCCCGCAGCGUCCUGGAACAAUGAGUCAGUCCAAGUCUGAGCGCCAAGCCUGGGAUAAAGACUCCCCUGCCUUCAGGGCCUCUCUCUGGCACCAAUCUCCAUUCCGGUUCCUCUUGCCCGCAGGGAAGGCUGGCUUCUGCGCCCCGUCCCCCAAUGGGCUGUAUGAGCCCCCCUGCACGGUGCACUGCGAGGCAGACAGCGAGUGUCCUGCAGAUGGAAAGUGCUGCGAAUUUGCCUGCAGCUACACGUGCCGGCCGCCCAUNAAAGGCCUCCUCUGAGCAAAUCCGCCUCUGCCACCUUUCACGCGCAGGCAGCAAGCCUCCCUGGGCCGGAAGGGGAGCUUCCUGAUCUUGCAGCUGGUGCAGACCCAACAGCGCACUGAGGAGCCCAAAGCACAGGGCAGGGCAGAUCCUGGCAGACAAAGGUUCAAAGAACAUAAGAACCUAAGAGGGGACCUGCUGGAUCANGCCACAGCCCAUCUAGUCCAGCAUCCCGUCUCACCCAAUGGCCCACCAGUUGAGUCAGGGCAUCUCAAGCAGAAGACAAAGGCAGAACCUUCCCCUGCUCUCCACUCCCUGCAAAUGCCCUUUAGAGACCUCCUGCCUGUCUCUCCAACCUGGAGGCAGCACCUGGGAUCCAUUCUAGCAGCCAUUGAUACACCUGAUCUCUCUGAUUUUCCUUGCCAUCCUGGGAUGGUGGUAGAAUAAUAUUAACAAUUGAC